UACGUAGGGGGCGAGCGUUACCCGGAUUUACUGGGCGUAAAGGGGGCGUAGGUGGCCGUGUAAGUCCGGUGUGAAAAGCCACGGCUCAACCGUGGGACUGCGCUGGAAACUACACGGCUUGAGGACGGUAGAGGGAGACGGAACUGCUGGUGUAGGGGUGAAAUCCGUAGAUAUCAGCAGGAACGCCGGUGGAGAAGUCGGUCUCCUGGGCCGUUCCUGACGCUGAGGCCCGAAAGCUAGGGGAGCAAACCGG
RNAcentral lists this ribosomal RNA (253 nucleotides) under uncultured microorganism. RNAcentral describes it as "partial 16S ribosomal RNA". It matches the Rfam family "Bacterial small subunit ribosomal RNA", at positions 524 to 776 of the family's 1533-position model. The record is from RNAcentral.